AACGCACCUUGCGCUCCUUGGUAUUCCUUGGAGCAUGCCUGUUUGAGUAUCAUGAAAUCUUCAAAGUAAAUCUUUUGUUAACUCAAUUGGUUCUACUUUGGUAUUGGAGGUCUUUGCAGCUUCACACCUGCUCCUCUUCGUUCAUUAGCUGGAUCUCAGUGUUAUGCUUGGUUCCACUCAGCGUGAUAAGUUAUCUAUCGCUGAGGACACUGUAACAGGUGGCCAAGGGAAAUGCAGAUGAACCGCUUCUAAUAGUCCAUUGACUUGGACACUAUUUUUAUGAUCUGAUCUCAAAUCAGGUAGGACUACCCGCUGAACUUAA
This 322-nucleotide unclassified non-coding RNA is filed under the name uncultured Ceratobasidiaceae. RNAcentral's name for it is "sequence contains ITS2". The record is from RNAcentral. Lineage: Eukaryota; Fungi; Basidiomycota; Agaricomycetes; Cantharellales; Ceratobasidiaceae.